UGCUGCAGGUUCUCCGGGCGCUAGCGGGUCAGAUAUGGAGCCAUGAACACAUGGCUAUCCCCAUACUGAGGCCUCUGAACCUUGUCACAACAAGGUAUACGGCCGGACAAUAGGUGGGCUUCAUCCUCAGAUGAGGACAAAAAAAAACACAAGGAGGCAUUGUGGGAGAGGG
Molecule: long non-coding RNA, 172 nt
Organism: Bufo bufo (common toad)
Lineage: Eukaryota; Metazoa; Chordata; Amphibia; Anura; Bufonidae
Exons: 3
Source: RefSeq, a predicted model, not a curated record